ACUGUGGGUAGCGGAGAAAUUCCAAUCGAACCCGGAGAUAGCUGGUUCUCCCCGAAAUAGUUUUAGGACUAGCCUCAAGUUAGAUACCUGGAGGUAAAGCACUGAAUAGCCUAGCGGCCGAGAGGUUAGCGAAGCUUAUCAAACUCAGAAUGCCAGAGUAUUGAUGCUUGGGAGUCAGACAGUGUCAGAUAAAUGUCAUUGUCAAAAGGGAAACAGCCCAGAUCUACAGCUAAGGUCCCAAAGUCAGGUUAAGUGGAAAACGAUGUGAAGAUACGCAGACAACCAGGAUGUUGGCUCAGAAGCAGCCACUCAUUCAAAGAGUGCGUAAUAGCUCACUGGUCGAGCGUCUUUGCGCGGAGAAUUUAACGGGGCUAAACCUGACACCGAAGCUUAGGCAAUACAGCAAUGUAUUGGGUAGGGGAGCGUUGUAUACGCGGUGAAACAGUAGCGCAAGCGGCUGUGGAGUGUAUAGAAGUGAGAAUGCCGGAAUGAGUAGCGCGAAUGCAGUGAGAAUCUGCAUGGCCGAAAGCCUCAGGUUUCUGGAGGAAGGUUCGUCCGCUCCAGGUUAGUCGGGAGCUAAGGUGAGGCCUAACGGCGUAGCCGAUGCACAGACGGUAGAGAUUCCGUCACCACCAAAAGAGUUAAGCACAGGGACACAUUUGAAGUCUCAGAGCCGGGUGUUGGUUCCGGUAGAGAUCGAGGGAAAUUAGUACCGAAGUCUGGGAUGGAAGAUGGCGAGAAAAGCUGUGUGUAUUUCUGAGGUGCCCGUACCGCAAACCGACACAGGUAGGUAGGAAGAAGAUUCUAAGGCCAACGGGAGAAGGGUUGUUAAGGAACUCGGCAAAUUGACCCCGUAACUUCGGGAGAAGGGGUGCUCCAGAGAUGGAGCCGCAGAGAAUCGGCCCAAGCAACUGUUUACCAAAAACACAGGUUUGUGCUAAAUCGAAAGAUGACGUAUACGAGCUGACGCCUGCCCGGUGCUGGAAGGUUAAGAGGAGAUGUGCAAGCAUUGAAUCGAAGCCCCAGUGAACGGCGGCCGUAACUAUAACGGUCCUAAGGUAGCGAAAUUCCUUGUCAGGUAAGUUCUGACCCGCACGAAUGGCGUAAUGAUCUGGGAGCUGUCUCAACUGCCCGCCCGGCGAAAUUGUAGUACCGGUGAAGAUGCCGGUUACCCGCGACUAGACGGAAAGACCCCAUGGAGCUUUACUGUAGCUUAAUAUUGGAUUUCGGCAUUUCAUGUACAGGAUAGGUGGGAGACUAGGAAACAUAGGCGUCAGCUUAUGUGGAGUCGUCCUUGGGAUACCACUCUUGGAGUGCUGAAAUUCUAACCUGCAGCCCUGAAUCGGGUUGGGGGACAUUGUUAGGUGGGCAGUUUGACUGGGGCGGUCGCCUCCAAAAAGGUAACGGAGGCGCUCAAAGGUUGGCUCAGCAUGGAUGGAAACCAUGCUAUAGAGUGCAAACGCAAAAGCCAGCCUGACUGCGAGACUGACGGGUCGAGCAGAAACGAAAGUUGGAGUUAGUGAUCCGGCGGUAUGUGAAUGGAAAUGCCGUCGCUCAACGGAUAAAAGCUACCCUGGGGAUAACAGGCUGAUCUCCCCCAAGAGUCCACAUCGACGGGGAGGUUUGGCACCUCGAUGUCGGCUCAUCACAUCCUGGGGCUGUAUUCGGUCCCAAGGGUUCGGCUGUUCGCCGAUUAAAGUGGUACGCGAGCUGGGUUCAGAACGUCGCGAGACAGUUCGGUCCCUAUCUGUCGUGGGCGCAGGAUAUUUGAGGAGCUCUGUCCUUAGUACGAGAGGACCGGGAUGGACGUACCUCUGGUGCACCAGUUGUCAUGCCAAUGGCACGGCUGGGCAGCUAUGUACGGAACGGAUAAACGCUGAAAGCAUCUAAGCGUGAAGCCGACUCCAAGAUUAGAUAUCCCAUCGUAUAACGAGUAAGACCCCUUGAAGACUACGAGGUUGAUAGGCUGCGUGUGUAAGUGCCGUGAGGCAUUCAGCUUGGCAGUACUAAUAGGUCGAGGGCUUGACCA
This 2029-nucleotide ribosomal RNA is filed under the name human gut metagenome. RNAcentral's name for it is "bacterial LSU rRNA". It matches the Rfam family "Bacterial large subunit ribosomal RNA", at positions 808 to 2925 of the family's 2925-position model. The record is from RNAcentral.